CCAGACUCCUACGGGAGGCAGCAGUGGGGGAUAUUGCACGAUGGGGGAAACCCUGAUGCAGCGACGCCGCGUGAGUGAAGAAGUAUUUCGGUAUGUAAAGCUCUAUCAGCAGGGAAGAAAAUGACAGUACCUGACCAAGAAGCCCCGGCUAACUACGUGCCAGCAGCCGCGGUAAUACGUAGGGGGCAAGCGUUAUCCGGAUUUACUGGGUGUAAAGGGAGCGUAGACGGUUAUGUAAGUCUGGAGUGAAAGCCCGGGGCCCAACCCCGGGACUGCUUUGGAAACUGUGUAACUGGAGUACAGGAGGGGCAGGCGGAAUUCCUGGUGUAGCGGUGAAAUGCGUAGAUAUCAGGAGGAACACCGGCGGCGAAGGCGGCCUGCUGGGCUGAAACUGACGUUGAGGCUCGAAAGCGUGGGGAGCGAACAGGAUUAGAUACCCGAGUA
This 444-nucleotide ribosomal RNA is filed under the name uncultured bacterium. RNAcentral's name for it is "bacterial SSU rRNA". It matches the Rfam family "Bacterial small subunit ribosomal RNA", at positions 331 to 792 of the family's 1533-position model. The record is from RNAcentral.